This 460-nucleotide ribosomal RNA is filed under the name uncultured Syntrophus sp. RNAcentral's name for it is "bacterial SSU rRNA". It matches the Rfam family "Bacterial small subunit ribosomal RNA", at positions 925 to 1374 of the family's 1533-position model. Lineage: Bacteria; Pseudomonadati; Thermodesulfobacteriota; Syntrophia; Syntrophales; Syntrophaceae. The record is from RNAcentral.
CGACAAGCGGUGGAGCAUGUGGUUUAAUUCGAUGCAACGCGAAGAACCUUACCUGGGCUUGACAUCCACGGAACCUGCUGGAAACAGUGGGUGGCCUUUCGGGAGCCGUGAGACAGGUGCUGCAUAGCUGUCGUCAGCUCGUGUCGUGAGAUGUUGGGUUAAGUCCCGCAACGAGCGCAACCCUUGUCUUUAAUUGCCAUCAUUCAGUUGGGCACUUUAAAGAGACUGUCGGUGUUAAACCGGAGGAAGGUGGGGAUGACGUCAAGUCCUCAUGGCCUUUAUGCCCAGGGCUACACACGUGCUACAAUGGGUGGUACAAAGAGCAGCAAGCUCGCGAGAGCAAGCGAAUCUCAAAAAGCCAUCCUCAGUUCGGAUUGAAGUCUGCAACUCGACUUCAUGAAGUCGGAAUCGCUAGUAAUCGCGGAUCAGCAUGCCCGCGGUCCGAAUACGUUCCGGCCUU